GCUGGAGCAGCAUCUAAUAACCAACUCGCAAAAUAAAACAAAAUAAAAACAAAACAACAAACACGAAAUCGGACUUUAUGAUACAGACUUAUAAUUUGCACCGAUGUUUUUUCGAAAUUCUAUACACGAAAACUCAGCGUGAGAGCCCUCGGUGCGCCUGCGCGCUGCUGAAGUCAAAGUAAACUUUGUCAUCUCCGCUACAUACAGUCCGUAUAUAGAGAGACGAGACGACGAGGCUCCAGUUACAGCAGUGCAAAUAAACGAACAAUAAAUAUAGUAGAGUAAGAAAAUAAAUAUACACUUUAGGACUCGGGGUAAAGGGAUCAAUAACAAUUUAAAAUUUAUAAUUUACAGUUUGAUGAUUUAAAGUCUCACACAUAACCCGUCGAAAGGGGAGGGAGACCUGCUGCUUCCAAAUAGAGCACAUUUCAUUCAUAAUGUUGUAAAUCCAAGCCCAUUAUGUAUUCAUGAUUUGAAUCCUGGGUUGUGUGAAAUCCCAGAAAUACACCCUAGACAAAGUUAAUCUGUGAACUAAGGUGUAGGUCUGUUAGGUUAUGUUGUGGUGAUCCUCUGGUUGAGGGAUGGGUGUUCAGACUGGAGUGCAAAAUGAAAACCAAUGGAAGAUGGACAAGAAAAGUUCAAAGUCAUCAGGUCCUCAGUUUAGAAAAAAUAGAAAAGAAGAGGAGGAGAAACGAACAAAUGAUACAGAAAUAGACGAUAUAAUUAGAAGAAGUGUCCUGAAUGACGAAAAAAAAAGAACUGGAAAAGAUACACAACUUUGUGUGCAUGUGUCACAAUGCCAGGAGGACCCAUUCAGUGUUGUGUUAGAAAAAUUGAACUCAUUAACCCUUCAUGGACAUUAUAAAUGUUUAAAUGUGGCCUCAGGUAAAGACAGGAAAAGAGACUAUUACAAAUUCAACUGCAUCAGAGCUGGAAAAAAAAGUCGAAACAGCUACAGAGCAGUGGGCUGUAAGGCCUAUGUUUCAUUUAAAGUACUCAAAUGUUGGAAAGACCACACAGUCAUCGUGCAGCUUACAUAUGAUAAGCAUGAUGGGCAUGAUCCUUCGGACCCAAAAGACGCACAUUUCAACAAUAUUUCCAGUGAUUUGAGGAGGAAGAUUGAGGAACUGCUUUCCCUUGGAACUAAGCCAGCCAUCAUACUAACCGAAUGUCAUAAAUGGGCCAAAGAACAUGGACACAGAGAUCUUCACAACAGAGAGCAUUUUGUCACACCACAUGACAUUGACAGUGUUAGAACCUGCAUGAUGAGGAAGAAGCACUUUAACUGUAGAGACAGUCAAAGUGUACAUACCUUACUUAAUGGAAAACAUCAAGAACAUGUUCUCUUCUAUCAACCAUACACAUCUGAUCAAGAACUAAUGAUUGUUUUGCAGACACCUGUAAUGAAAUCAAACAUGGAGAACUAUGCAAAACAGUUAGUAUUUGUUGACACCACGCAUUGUGUUAACCAGUAUUCAUUUCCCUUAUUCACACUUGUUGUAAGAGAUGAUCAUGGGCGUGGAGUCCCUGUGGCCUAUGCUAUUGUCAGCAACGAAAGUCAGAAAACCCUGGAAAUCGUUCUUGGAAUAGUUUGUGAGCAUUUACCAACUUCCCCGAGAGCAUUUAUGGUUGACAAAGACUUUGCGGAAAUAAAUGCUUUGCAGAAGGUUUUUCCAGAGUCAGCUAUCCUUCUAUGCUGGUGCCAUGUCUUGCAGGCUGCUAAUCGAUGGCUUUCAAAAUCUGAGUCUGGGGUCCAUGGGCUUUCUAACACCCAAAAGAGAAAUGAAAUCAUUUCUUUCUUUUGUAAGCUGAAAGCUUGCACAUCUUGUGGUAUGUUGGAGCAGCGGUUUAUCGGCAGCUGAGAGGAAGAGGUUGGAUAAACUCAUCAGGAAGGCCAGCUCUGUUCUGGGAUGCACCCUGGACCCAGUGCAGGUGGUGGGAGACAGAAGGACUCUGGCCAAAAUAACAUCUCUGAUGGACAGAGUCUCCCACCCCAUGCAUGUAAAUGUUGCUGAACUGCAGAGCUCCUUCAGUGACAGACUGCUGCAUCCUAGAUGCAUGAAGGAGCGUUUCCGCAGGUCCUUCCUCCCUGCAGCUGUCAGACUGUACAAUCAGAACUGCUCCCAACAAUCAUAGAUGUUUACAUCAGCACUGUAACUGCAAUAAGUUAAUCAACCGAUUCGCACUACAACCUGGUUUGCCUCUUAUCUGUAGUUAUUUUUAUUUAAUUUAAUAACUGUACAGUACUCUCUGUAUAUAGUAACCAUUGUCCUUAAUGUAAAUAUGUAAGAAAAAUUGUGUAUGUUUCUGUGCUGUGUCCUGUUUGUUUGUAUAUGUGUCUUUUUGGCUGCUGUUACAACCAAAUUUCCCCUUGUGGGACAAUUAAAGGAUUAUUCUAUUCUAUUGUGUCAC
Long non-coding RNA from Oreochromis aureus, 2412 nucleotides. Lineage: Eukaryota; Metazoa; Chordata; Actinopteri; Cichliformes; Cichlidae. The record is from Ensembl.